This 600-nucleotide ribosomal RNA is filed under the name uncultured archaeon. Its description in RNAcentral is "bacterial SSU rRNA". It matches the Rfam family "Archaeal small subunit ribosomal RNA", at positions 156 to 761 of the family's 1478-position model. The record is from RNAcentral.
AGAUCAUAGUGCCUGGAAUGGCUUAUGGUCCAAACACCUUACUGCCAUGGGAUGGGACUGCGGCCUAUCAGCUUGUUGGUGAGGUAAUGGCCCACCAAGGCGAUUACAGGUACGGGCUCUGAGAGGAGAAGCCCGGAGAUGGGUACUGAGACACGGACCCAGGCCCUAUGGGGCGCAGCAGGCGAGAAACCUUAGCAAUGUGCGAAAGCACGACUGGGUCAGUCCGAGUGAUUCCUGAUAAAGGAGUCUUUUGCCUGUCCUAAAAACUUUUGUGAAUAAGGGGUGGGCAAGUCUGGUGUCAGCCGCCGCGGUAAUACCAGCACCUCGAGUGGUCAGGACGUUUAUUGGGCCUAAAGCAUCCGUAGCCGGCGCUGCAAGUCUUCGGUUAAAUCCACCUGCUCAACAGAUGGGCUGCUGGAGAUACUACAGCGCUAGGGAGUGGGAGAGGCAGACGGUAUUCAGUGGGUAGGGGUAAAAUCCUCUGAUCCAUUGAGGACCACCAGUGGCGAAGGCGGUCUGCCAGAACACGUUCGACGGUGAGGGAUGAAAGCUGGGGGGAGCAACCGGAUUAGAUACCCGGGUAGUCCAGCUGUAAACGAU